CAUGCAAGUCGAGCGGAGAUGAGGUGCUUGCACCUUAUCUUAGCGGCGGACGGGUGAGUAAUGCUUAGGAAUCUGCCUAUUAGUGGGGGACAACAUUCCGAAAGGAAUGCUAAUACCGCAUACGUCCUACGGGAGAAAGCAGGGGAUCUUCGGACCUUGCGCUAAUGGAUGAGCCUAAGUCGGAUUAGCUAGUUGGUGGGGUAAAGGCCUACCAAGGCGACGAUCUGUAGCGGGUCUGAGAGGAUGAUCCGCCACACUGGGACUGAGACACGGCCCAGACUCCUACGGGAGGCAGCAGUGGGGAAUAUUGGACAAUGGGGGGAACCCUGAUCCAGCCAUGCCGCGUGUGUGAAGAAGGCCUUAUGGUUGUAAAGCACUUUAAGCGAGGAGGAGGCUACUGAGACUAAUACUCUUGGAUAGUGGACGUUACUCGCAGAAUAAGCACCGGCUAACUCUGUGCCAGCAGCCGCGGUAAUACAGAGGGUGCGAGCGUUAAUCGGAUUUACUGGGCGUAAAGCGUGCGUAGGCGGCUUUUUAAGUCGGAUGUGAAAUCCCCGAGUUUAACUUGGGAAUUGCAUUCGAUACUGGGAAGCUAGAGUAUGGGAGAGGAUGGUAGAAUUCCAGGUGUAGCGGUGAAAUGCGUAGAGAUCUGGAGGAAUACCGAUGGCGAAAGCAGCCAUCUGGGCUAAUACUGACGCUGAAGUACGAAAGCAUGGGGAGCAAACAGGAUUAGAUACCCUGGUAGUCCAUGCCGUAAACGAUGUCUACUAG
This 771-nucleotide ribosomal RNA is filed under the name uncultured bacterium. RNAcentral describes it as "bacterial SSU rRNA". It matches the Rfam family "Bacterial small subunit ribosomal RNA", at positions 54 to 819 of the family's 1533-position model. The record is from RNAcentral.